GGACUGCCCUACCCCCCAACACACACACACAUACACACACACGCACACAUAUACCUCUCUCUGCAGACCAGACCACCCCCCCCCGACACACACACAUACACACACAUCUCUCUUUCUGAAGGACACACCACCCCCCCAACACACACACACACACCUCUGUCUGCGGGCCGGGCUGCGCCCCCCCCGCCCCGGACACACACACACGCACACACACACAUACAUCUCUCUCUCUGCAGGUUGGGCCACCGCCCCAACACACACACACACACACACACACACACACACACACACACAUUUUGGGGGCUGCUUCCCCAGCAGAGGGGUCCCUCCUGAGGGCCCUCAGGCAGGAGGCGCGCUGGCUUUCAGAGCGAGUGGUAACACACAAGGAGUUCUUUGCGGCCCUGGAGGGUGCUCAGAAAACCCCCCAGAAGAGACUGAGUUGGAGAGAGCAACUCGCAUGUGUGAUCUGUUGCUGCAUGACAAGCCCCCAUAGCCCAGGGGUGUUGAACAGUCCCUUGGGAAGUGGUUCUGGCGGUCAGAAGUCCGAGAUGGGCCCACGGAGCAAAGGCAGGGCCGUGCACCUUCUGGGAGCUCCAGGAGGCUCUGAGCCCCAUCGUGUGCAGUUUCUGAGGCGCCUGCUUCACUCCCCGGCUCCCGGUCCCUCCCUGCAGCCUGAGAGCCAAGUCCACCGUCCUCCCAGCUGCCCCCUCCUCCUCCCCGAGAACCCGGGACAUGCUCCCCACUGUGAGGCCAGCUGACAGCAGCCCGAACUCCACCUGCAGUCUCAGCCCCCGUUUGCCCCGGGACCAGCCCAUGACAUCCCGACAUCCUGUCUUCCAGGUGGGCAAAGGUCAGCCUGUGUGUGGAUCGCAGGCAACUGCGACAUCCCGGCUCUGCUGCUCAGGAGCUGAUAAGUUACCUGCCACAGUCGCAGGGACGCGGCCCGGAUAGGAGGCUCGGAGUCAGGACCCCCUCCCCAGAGCCGACAGCAAGACCCGGUGUACCUCAGUCCCCGCCCCCCACCAGGUCUCUCUGGGAGUGGGGGACGUGGCCCAGGCCGAGGGUGCACACAGGUGCUGUGUGACUACCAGGCCAGACUUGGGAAACCCCACGCCUCCACUAAGGGCUGCAGGCAAGCGGCCGUCCUUUGCCCAGGUCGGGACAGUUCUGUGCCCCUGGCUGUGUGCUGUCCGUGAGCGUCAGCUCCGUGACUGCUCGCACGUGUGCAGAUGAGCAAGGCCAGGGGUCCACCCUCCCCAACCCCGGCAGCUCCCAUCUGCACACGCUGUCCUCACUUGUCACCCAUGAGACCGGGAGAGGGGCUGGGCUGGGCAGGGGCGGUCUGCAGCCUCAGCUCACCGGACUUCCCGGCGACCCUCAACCAGCAGUGCACGUACCUUCUGUAGGAUGUGAAAUAGGCCUGCAGACAUCUUUCCUGCAGAAUAUCCUGUCUAUAUUCUCCAAUCCCACUUGUCACUUUUCCUGAACACCACCAACCCGGCCAGUAGGUGUACCUGCUUCCCAAGACCCUGGGACCCGAGGUGGGUGAGGGAGAGUUGUGCCUAGGCGCCCAGUUUCCAGGGCACCCCAGGGUCACCCAGGUCUGGGCCCCAGCAGAUCCCGGCGCUCAUCCGCUCUGAGACCUCCCAGGCGAUGAGUCCCACUGGUGGACGAGGCCAGAAACCAGGCAGCGCGUGACCUGGGAUCCCAGGUCAGACGCUGGGCGUGGGUUCUGGCUCUGCUGCUCAGGUGGCUGGCAGGCCGCAGCCCCGCCCCGGGUCUCGGCUUCCCAGGCCGGCGCCGGAUGAGGGCGCCUCCCUUCCCGGGAGGGCACCCACCCCAGCUCCCUCUGCUUGCCCGUGCUUUGACACAGUGGCGGUCAUCUCAUCACUGACGCGCGGACACGUGGACUCAACACGUGGUCCCCCGUGCAGUCGCUGAGUCAGAGCACAUUUCCUGAGCUGGGACCGCGCGCCCAUCGCGGUCCUGAGAGGUUCUGAGCCACAGGGCAGGGCCUGCCUCCCGUGAAGCCGAGCUUCCAGCAGGAGAGGAACAAACUGCAACAGGAGCGUAAACCAGUAACAGCACCGCAGCAGCCGCGGGAGGCCAGCUCCACAGACAGGGCAGCUGCGCUUUCAUCAGGAGGGGAUCCAAGCGGAGGCCUUAAGAUGUGCCAGAUCCUCUCAGACACAGAUCUUAUCAGCCUUUCAGCGUCCAGCUGGUGACUCUGGAGUUUUAUUUAGUUGAUUCCCCAACACCCGCUCUAAUUCAGGAUCUAAAUCAACAGCCCUCCUGUGUGACACGUGUCCAGUUCGGGUGUGUGCUUGUCACUUUACAAUGAUGAGGAAAACCAUCACAUAAACAUUUGGCAGAGAAACAAUUUUCAAUUUGCUGUUUUCAUCGCACCUGAGCUUAGGCAAGAGAGUCUCGGUUUCCAAACCGUAGGCGUGGUCUCAGCUCAGAAGCAGCACUGCGGGCCGUGAGUUCCGUGAUUUCAGUGUUUCCCACAAAUCUUAUCACGCAGGGUUUCUUUCCUGGGGGAAUGGGAAGUCAGCUCAGCCCCUGACCCUGACCUCAGGGCUCCUGGGCUCUGCUCUGGGCUGAGGGACGGACUGUGAAGUUGGAAACUUUGAUCACAUGGACACGUCAAGGCCUGCAGACCUCUGCUUCUUUAUCAGGUAAACUGAUAUGGACUUGGAGACCGGAUCGAUCGGGUUUUGUUUUUAGUCGUAAAUAGCAGUUGAAAAGGUAGAUGCUCAGACUGAAGAAAAGAUUUUUUUUAAGAGAAAUUAAGACCAGAGUUAGGCUCUGCACAUAAAUUUAAAACACAUUUUCAGAGCCUAAGAUUUUUGCUAACAACACUCUGGCCUAGUCACACCAGAUCCCCGGUGAGACCUAGAAAACAUCCAGAGAAACCCGGAAUCACGUGGGACUUGAUCCAAAAGACUGACGGGAACCACAGUGGAAGCAUAAUGUCUAAGCCCGUGAGAAGGUUAAUGAUGAAAUAAUCAACGUUGGCCUCACGGCCGCCAGAUGAGCAACUGUCCCUGACGUGUUGGACCAGAGGAGGCCAGAGGUCAGCAGGGCCCAGACCGCGGUCCCCGGGGCCAGGACGUGGGUCCCCAGACUGGGGUCCGCAGGGCGCAGGUUCCAGGACCACAGUCCACGGGGCUGGGAUGCGGGUUCCCACGUCUCCAGAAAGCUCGAGUGGCUUUAGAUUUCCCUUUCCUCCAACAAAGCCUUCUAGGACCCCCUGUGAAAUGAGGAGGAGGCAGAGCGGCUCUGGUGACCCCGGGGCGGGGUCUCGGUCUCCUGAGGGCUGAUGGAGACGCUGGAAGAGGGGUGCAUGGCAGGGGAAGUCCAGUAGGAAAGUGGGUGCCCUGAGGCGCGGUCAGGAAGGUUCUCCCCAGGACAGAUGGAGAGAUGCUGUCUGCUCACAGAAACGUUUCUUCAGACCAGCUCCUCACCAGGCCCCAGGGAUGCCAGCAAAACUCUGCCCUCCAACAGCUUUCUUCCUGAUGAGAGAGGAAACAGAAGAAACAAGCAAAUCACACAAAGGAUGUGACCAUCACAGGGCACCGAGUGCUGGGGGGACACAGGGAGGCCAAGGGGGCCGUGGAGGGCAAGUUCAGACAGAGGGAGAGGGUCUCACGGAGAAGAUGCUCUGAAAGAGCUGGAGGGCCAGGGAAAGGGGGCGCUGCGGGGCGGGGGGAGGAACUGCAGAGCAGGGAGGGGACUGCGUAGCAGGAAGGACUGCAUGAGCUCAUUUCCUCUUCCCAGAGCUUCACUACAGCUACCCCCACCCCACCCCAGCCAGCCCCCCAGCCCCGCGCAGAGUAGGGGCUUCCCGCGAGUUUGCGAUUCUCAGAACGUGCCACCAGAGGGCAGUGUAGGUCCUGCAAGCGUUGACAGGGUCACUUCCGCCCCCUGCGCCCCCUCCUAGAUCACACGCUUUCCUUGUGGGGGGCCGUGGUGGGGGGAGGGCAGCUGUCCCAGAUGCUACCUCUGUUCCUUAUGCCCCGGCACGAGCUGCCGACCCGAGAUCUCCGCAGAGCUGGGCGUCCGUCAGCAUUGCCACGAGCUCUGGGAAGCUCAUGACGCAGAAGCUCAUGGACACACCAUAAACCACACAGGGCCAAAGAUCCUGAAAGAUGAUGCUGUGGAAAGUGCUGCACUCAAUAUGCAAUAUGCACUCAAUAUGCAAUAUGCCGGCUCCCGGCAGGCUGCAGUCCACGGGGUCGCAGAGUCGGACACGAUUGACCGUCUGAACACGACACUUCGCUGAUCCGCAUCGCUGUAUGGCAGAAACCAACAUAACACUAUAAAGCAACUUUCCUCCCAUUAAAAAAUACAUUAAAAAAAUAAAACAAGAUAUUAAAAAACUCUUGUAGGGAAUUCCCUGGUGGGCCGGUGAUUAGGACUCAGGUUUGAU
This is a long non-coding RNA of Bos taurus (domestic cattle), 4432 nucleotides long. Lineage: Eukaryota; Metazoa; Chordata; Mammalia; Artiodactyla; Bovidae. The record is from Ensembl.